This is a non-coding RNA of Megalopta genalis, 632 nucleotides long. The record is from RefSeq and is a predicted model, not a curated record. NCBI's taxonomy places the organism in Eukaryota, Metazoa, Arthropoda, Insecta, Hymenoptera, Halictidae.
AGUGUUUCUUGUAUACCCUAUCUUAUAAAUAAGACAAUUUAGACAACAACAUUUCCAGAGGAAAUUUGAGAAGCAGACUAGUUCACAGUCCUUAAUACAAAAUGAUUUCGAAAAGAGAAAAUAAUGUACCGUUCUUCUGAGCGAAACGAUAAGAAAGCGAAUGUCACGAAUUCCGGAAACAAUCACGUCGGAUCCUGGAUUUCUCUCCGGAAUAUCGCAGGACGGGACGAGGUGGAACAUAAAAUUCAAGUCCAACAAAAUGUUAGAAAAAAGACCAGCGAUUAUCAAGAAAAAAAGAAUACCUACGGAGAAAUUUUUUGGUUAUUGCCGAUCUCGGCUAGAUCGAAAAAUAUUACGGAAUGACGCCGAGCAACGAAUUGCACGGGGAACGAGAACGACAAUUUCGAGCUUACGUACGCUAAAAUAAACUCUAAAUUCUCAACAAAUGUAAUAUUUACAUUAAAUAGGCGACGAAAGUUCCUUACACGGCAAAGUCUAUCAGAGACUGCGAUUGCUUGAUAGUGGCGCCUCUCGGUGAUAGACUUUCAACACAAACCGUAGAAAUUGAGGUUAUGAUUUAUUUUAAUUCUACGAUUGUUUAUGAUAAUCAUUAAAUGAAUCUCUCUCUGAAA